CUCAAGGCCCUUUUCAGGGCCACCACACUGAGCAUGUAAUCACUA
Operophtera brumata (winter moth) is the source of this 45-nucleotide non-coding RNA. The record is from Rfam. NCBI's taxonomy places the organism in Eukaryota, Metazoa, Arthropoda, Insecta, Lepidoptera, Geometridae.